AAGAAAAGAAAAGAAAAGAAAAGAAAAGAGAAAAGAAAAAAGAAAAAAGACCUUUCUCCUCCCCCCGUUUUGGUUAUGGUUAGUAUUUUGCCAUCGGUUUCUUGCACGAAGAGCCGAGAGCGGGCACAGAGUAAGGCAGAGGGAGCUGCCGAGCCCCUGAAGCCAGGGAGCUGCAAGCUCCCAGCCGUGGGUCGGGGGUUUGAGGAGCUCGUCCUUCCCGCGGGGGAGGUGGGGAUUGCCUUUCAGGGCAGGUACGCGGCCAGGCCGGCCGCCCAGCCGGCUCCCCGCGGGGCAUGGCUGCCGGCCCCUCGGCGGGGCAGCGCCCGGGGCAGGCCCGGGGCUGCGCCUCCCGGUAGAGUAGGAAUUUCAGACCGUGCUUCAGUCGGGGAGGAAACAACUGCAUUUGCAGCGAGGAACACAGAAAGCUCUUUCUUAGUUAUUAGUGGAAAAAAAAUGAAAGAAGAAAAAAGAAGGAAAAAAGCAAAGAAAAUAAAAAAUAAAAAAUAAAGAAAAAGAAAAAAGAAAAAUGAAAAACGAAAAAAGAAAAAAGAAAACAACAACAACAACAACAAAGUGAGAAAAAGGAUUUAACUCAUCUUCUGCCACUUCGCUGUACAAACUGGGCAUCAAUCCAACACCCACGUUCAAACUCAGCCGCCGCAAUCAACAUCUCACCUGCUUCGCAUCUACCCUACCAGCCAACUCCUAGCUCAGCCAAACACAGCAACUGUCUCCACCUCAAGUCCAAGGACUUGAUGGAUGUCCCUUUAGCCUUGCUUAGCGACUGUGUGUGGCUCCCCACUGUGAUCUGCCAGGGUCUGGAGGCACAGCAGGAUCCAAGAUGGGUUGUGAUGGGAAAUGGAGGAGGAUUUUAAGGCUCUGGACUGGUGGGGAGUGGAGAGAAGAUUGGAAAUGAAAUUAAGACCAUUUGGUUCUGUGUCCACAAGCGGGUUGAAUGAGCCCUGAGCUGCUGUACCUACUCCAUAGCAAAGCUCUCAUGUACUUCAGGGAGGAUUCUGCAGACCUAAGGACUGAGGAGUCGGUACUGGGAGCUAAGGAAACAACAUGAAUAAUUUCCUUCAUAGCUGGUUUAGAAAAAGCCAGCUGCUUUCUACAGUUGUGCCAAAACUAAGAGGAGAUGGUCUGAGGUUAAGAAACACGUGGGAUAAUUUUCAUACCAAAUGUGAAAAAUGAGAAAUUGCUUUAACAUAUAGUAACUUGCCAUAAAAAUGUGAUACGUGUUCCCUUCCAGCUUUAAAAGGAGACUUUAUAAACUCUAUCGUCUUUGAUUUACUGAGGCAACUUUAGAUUUAUUUUUUUAAUUCAUACGUUUGUGAGAAAACAUAACGAAACCCUUGAUGUUUUUAUGAUCUUGAUUAGCAAUUCAUUGUGUAAGUAUUUGGUUAUUAAAACAUACACUAAAUAUUGCACUGUAAAAUCUGUUGCAACUUAUUCAAUAUAUUUUGGAAUUAAUAGAAAAAAUGAGAAGAUUGCAAAAAUGGUAUUGAGUUUUAUUUUGUUUCAUUUAAUAAAAAACUCACUUGACUGCACAGUCCUUUGCUUAAUUUUCUCACUUGUUGUGUAUAUAUUUGAAGAAAAAUGUCUGUUGCAUAUCAUCUAUCUAACACUAAAACCUGAUGCUGUUAUUAAUAAGUUACUGAGAAAAAUAAACCAGUUUUCACUUUGAUUUCUAUCACUCCUGGUGAGUGAUUCUUCUGGAAUAAACAUAGCUCUAACACAUGUAAACAACACAGGAAAUUAAUAACAAAAUUCUUUGGAUUUAUUUCAGAUGCUGCAUACUUUAUGUAAAUAUAUGUGGCUUUCAAUUUCAAUGAUUUUCCAGUAAGUAAUAAACUUUGCUCAUUAACCUCCUCUUAAACUAAACAUUUAUUACUUUAUAAGUGUUAUUUCAACUAAAUCAAGUGGAUGUUCUGGGUAAAUUAAUGCAACAGAUCUGUUCAACCAGAGAAGCAGGAUGACUUCUUUUGAGUUGGGAAAACUGUGAGUUUCUACUUAAACUUCAAGGGAAUGAGACGCAGUAUAUUAUGUUGAUUUUUAAUGUGAAAGAUGUUGAUAAUAUCUUUUUAAAAUUAAUCUACUUUUCCCUCAUAAGCUCGGUGGUAAAACAUGGGAAAUAUCCCAUCAGUUGGAUAAAGUCACAUCUAUCCAUUCCAUGAACCUUGGGUUAGUAAUUUUUCGCAGAACUGGCUUGGUGUUUGGUUUGUUGGUUUUUUUUUCACUACCAGCCGUGACUAGUCAGUAUUUUCCUGAAGUGAUGAGUUGGGUAUCUUUUCUGGAAACAGAUUUCUUUUAAGUGUAUAAUUUUAAGAAUAUAAGGACAAAAAUGUUUUGC
Grus americana (Whooping crane) is the source of this 2353-nucleotide RNA transcript. RefSeq lists it as uncharacterized. The transcript has 3 exons. NCBI's taxonomy places the organism in Eukaryota, Metazoa, Chordata, Aves, Gruiformes, Gruidae. The record is from RefSeq and is a predicted model, not a curated record.